RNAcentral lists this long non-coding RNA (1033 nucleotides) under Chrysolophus pictus (golden pheasant). Its description in RNAcentral is "lncRNA (ENSCPIG00010010725.1)". Lineage: Eukaryota; Metazoa; Chordata; Aves; Galliformes; Phasianidae. The record is from RNAcentral.
GAUAGCUUGCAAUGUUCAGUUUGCUGCUUGCCAGGACUUCUCAACUUCCUUAGGACCUGCCCAUCUGCUGUGCAAUACUGGAUGCAAAAUGUUAUUUUUAUCCAGGACUGAGCAUAGCCCAACAGCCCUUGUUGUUACAAUUAAGCUAUGUGCUACUUUCCAUAACUCAUUAGCCCUUUAGCUUCUGGAUUAAUUCAAUGUGCAAAUAACGUCACAAAUUGAAUAUUACUGGACUUCUAUUGAGUACUAAGCGGCAGUGAACACACAUUGCUGUGUCUUCGUUCUGCUUUGCACAACGGUGUUUUGUGCAGCCUAUCAAGCAGCUCGUUAGCCUCCUGGGAGCUCAGUGCCUUCUUUCCAUGCUGGUGUGGUUAUUUUUUGUGUGGUAACCCAGAUAUUAGAACAGAAAUGCAACGACUGCAUGGAAAAGUGGGGAUAGGCAAAAUGAAGCUCCUUUACCACAUCUAGCUCUUAUACAGCUUUUGGGUGGGAUUGCUUAACCCAGCCUAGGCACCCGUAUUACUGAAGUGCAGAAAAGCAAGCUUUGCUAUGGGUGUCAGCCAGAGGUCCCCAUGGGAUGCCAGCACUGCCCGGGGCCUUGGGCUGGGUUUGGGGCUGAAGGAUUUGUGAUGCCAACACACUCCCAAAGCUCCAAACCUCAAACCUGUCAGUAGUGCCAACGUGGGGAGAAUGGCUCCAUGCCAUGGGAACCUCCACAGCACAGCUGAGCUGAUGGGUGCAGCUUUCUUUUAACGCGCUGGAGUGGAGGCAAAUUUCAAUCUAAUAAUGUAAAGCAGCAAUAACCAUUAUAAUUAAUUUAUAUAAAAGACAUUAUAAAAUUACACUUGGUGCAUUUAAAUCCCAUCUAGGAGCAAUGGUCGUUUUCCAGUUAAGCUAUGGGCUGUGCUAAGGCAGACGGGGAAAGAGAUUCAGCGUUGACAGGGGUUGUUCCGAAUGUAACAGGAUCCCGUGGCAGAUGUAAAUCAGACUGCAUGCAUUUGCCUCGCGUUUCAUGAAGGAGGUCAGUGUGGGG